This 739-nucleotide long non-coding RNA is filed under the name Erythranthe guttata (spotted monkey flower). RNAcentral's name for it is "long non-coding RNA (EGUT_LNC001940)". The record is from RNAcentral. Lineage: Eukaryota; Viridiplantae; Streptophyta; Magnoliopsida; Lamiales; Phrymaceae.
GCGCGGGCUUUAAUUCUGCAGGAAAUCUGACUUUUUUCACUUUUGGCCCACUUUUUCUCUGAAUUUGCAGUUUUCACCCCAAAAGUUGUCAAUUCUUCAAUUUGCACCUAAAAUACAAAUAAUAACCAAAUUAAGCACCAAUUAUCGUAAAAACACACCAAAAGCUCCAAUUAAAAGGUAUAAUUAAGUGUAUAAAUCUACACUUAACACACCCCCAAACUUGAACUUUUGCUUGUCCUCAAGUAAAAUCAAAUCAAGAACACAAAUCAUGACAAUACAUCUCAUUACAUAGGUCGAUUGGUCAACUUCGUGUUUUCAGAACUUGCAAUUAUGAUGACAAUUCAUAAGUAUUCGCAAGCUUAACAUUCAACGGCACUUAGUCACUCACCAUUACCAAAAACCACAAAUCAUACAAUUGCUUCAAGUAUCCAAUAUUUGCAAGUUAAAGAUAGAAAGAAUUUGUACUUACAUGCAUAUAUUUGACUCCAAAUACCCACCAAAUUAUUUUACUCAACUAAUAUUGAACAAUAAGCUAUUGGGAUCAUUGGGGCUUUGUGGCUUUCAAUUGUUAGGCUCUUUGGUCCGAGGUAGGUAAUAUGGAAAUGUGUGGCUAAUUUUCUUGAAUUGAGGUGAUUUCGCCAAAAUUUGAACGAUAGGCGUUUGAAACAAUGAAUUCACCUCUAGGGACUUUAAUAAACUCGAUUCUCCAAAAUUCACACGUCAACAUUGUUGCCUUGAG